Molecule: long non-coding RNA, 2146 nt
Organism: Homo sapiens (human)
Lineage: Eukaryota; Metazoa; Chordata; Mammalia; Primates; Hominidae
Exons: 2
Source: RefSeq, a predicted model, not a curated record
AAAGGGCCAGCGCGUGAGAGCGGCCUCAGGUGGAGCACAUGGGACCCGGCCACGCGGCCUGCCGGGCCUGCUCGUGCUCUUUAGGCUGGGUGUCAGAUUCAGGGGAAGGAGCCAUUAGUGUCAUUCCUGACUUCUAGGAGGCCGAAGGGAGGACCCUCAUCCGCCCCGAGGACGCGCCAACGCCGCCCCCUCCCCUGUGCCCGGCGGGCCUGGCCCCUUCGGUCCCCGCCCGGGUGACCUUGGUUGGGUGAGCCGUCCGCACCUCAGUGGGUUGUGCUCCGCGCCUCGCCGCCGCUGGGCCUGGCCUCGACACUACCCGGAGAUGGGUUCAACUCCGGGCCUGGAAAGCGAGUCUUUAGCCCUUGCGGGCAGCCGGCGCCUAGGAAGUGGGAACGGAAUUACUAAAGCCCUCACCCAGGCCAGGCCCUUCUCCCCGCCGCGAAACCUUGUAUUUAUGGGCAGGAAAUGUCUUUUCUUUCAAGUGGAUGUCGUUUUUUUUCUAAAGAAUUGCUUUGGGCGGAGUUGAACCGUCCCUGGAUUGGGACUUCUGAGAUCUGAGAUUUUAUCCUGGCCCUGCCCCCUUACCAUCUCUGCAGCAGUGACUUCCAGCUUCGUGGGCCUCAGUUUCUCUAUUGUAAAAUGAAGGAGCAGUGUAUGACAGCAGUUUCAAACUUCAGUGUACAUUCGAUUCAAUACUUACUGACCUCGUACUGUGGGGGCCUUGCAGGGUUCUAGGAAACGGGUUUGGUAUAAACUAGGCUAACAAAGUCCCUAUCCUCAUGGAAUUUAUUCUAAGGUGGGGAAAGAGACAAUAAACAAGUAAUAAAUUAUUGUCUAGUAUCUAUGAAGACAAUAGUUAAACUGUGGUAAUCAGUUAGACUAGAUGGGCUACUUUUGUUUGGGUGAUAAGGGAAGACUUCUUUGAACGCAGAUGCCAAAGUAUUAGGAAUCAGGCUCGGUCUGGGACUGGACCCAGAAAUCUGCGUGUCUAGCAAGAUCCCUUUGGUGCUUAUGACUUCACUUGGAGAAGUCCUGGCUUCUGACUGGCUGUGAUCCCACGUGCUCACAUAACAUAACAGCCUGGAAUGUUGGCCAUCUCCAAAACAAGAAUUAGAGCACACGACCUGCUGGAUCUAGGAGAAGACUGAAUGAAAAGCCUCUUGGAACUGCCCCAGCCAGCAAAGCUGAGCUGUAGGAUUGUUGUAACCAGUAUGGGGGAGAAGUACUGGUAGGGAUAGCCAGAUGAAGAAACCAAAGUUCAGAAAAGUGAAGUCCAAGGCCGGGCACAGUGGCUCAAACCUGUAAUCCCGGCACUUUGGGAGGCUGAGGCAGGCAGAUCACCUGAGGUCAUGAGUUCAAGACCAGCCUGGCCAACAUGGCGAAACACUGUCUGUACUAAAAAUACAAAAAUUAGCUGGGCAUGGUGGCGCACACCUGUAAUCCAAGCUACUCAGGAGGCUGAGGCAUGAAAAUUGCUUGAACCCAGGUGGCGGAGGUUGCAGUAAGCCGAGAUCACCCCACUGCACUCCAUCCUAGGUGACAGAGCAAAACUCCAUCUCAAAAAAAGAAAAGAAAAGAAAAAGGAAGAAAAAGAAAAGUAAAGUUCCUUAUCCAAAGUCACACAGCAGAGCCAGACAGAGCUAGGUCUCAUACCUGAAUCUCUUUAUCCUAAAUCCAGUAGUUUUUUCUACAUUAAAAUAAUGAAACUGGGGCUGGGCAUAGUGACUCACACCUGUAAUCCUAACACUUUGAAAGGCCAAAGCAGGAGGAUCACUUGAACCUAGGAGUUAGAGAUCAGCCUGGACAACACAGUGAGACCCUGUCUCUAUUUUUUUUAAGUUUUAAUAAAAAAAUGAUGGAAUUGGGAUUUGAAUUCAGGUUUUUUUGAUUCCUAACCAACUAUGGUAUUUUAUAUGCAUAUAUUUCUAAAUACAGUCAUCCUCCCUUAUCCCAGUGCAUGCCUGAAACCCCAAAUAGUACCAAACUCUAUAUAUACUAUGUUUUUCCUAUAUAUACUUACCUAUAAUAAAGUUUAAUAUAUAAAUUAGGCACAGUAAGAGAUAAACAACAAUAAAUAAUAAAAUAGAACAAUUAUAACCAUAGACAGUAAUAAAAUUUAUGUGACUGUGCUCUUUCUCUCUCAAAA